GUGAGUGAUGAAGGUUUUCGGAUCGUAAAGCUCUGUUGUUAGGGAAGAACAAGUGCAAGAGUAACUGCUUGCACCUUGACGGUACCUAACCAGAAAGCCACGGCUAACUACGUGCCAGCAGCCGCGGUAAUACGUAGGUGGCAAGCGUUGUCCGGAAUUAUUGGGCGUAAAGGGCUCGCAGGCGGUUUCUUAAGUCUGAUGUGAAAGCCCCCGGCUCAACCGGGGAGGGUCAUUGGAAACUGGGAAACUUGAGUGCAGAAGAGGAGAGUGGAAUUCCACGUGUAGCGGUGAAAUGCGUAGAGAUGUGGAGGAACACCAGUGGCGAAGGCGACUCUCUGGUCUGUAACUGACGCUGAGGAGCGAAAGCGUGGGGAGCGAACAGGAUUAGAUACCCUGGUAGUCCACGCCGUAAACGAUGAGUGCUAAGUGUUAGGGGGUUUCCGCCCCUUAGUGCUGCAGCUAACGCAUUAAGCACUCCGCCUGGGGAGUACGGUCGCAAGACUGAAACUCAAAGGAAUUGACGGGGGCCCGCACAAGCGGUGGAGCAUGUGGUUUAAUUCGAAGCAACGCGAAGAACCUUACCAGGUCUUGACAUCCUCUGACAACCCUAGAGAUAGGGCUUUCCCUUCGGGGACAGAGUGACAGGUGGUGCAUGGUUGUCGUCAGCUCGUGUCGUGAGAUGUUGGGUUAAGUCCCGCAACGAGCGCAACCCUUGAUCUUAGUUGCCAGCAUUUAGUUGGGCACUCUAAGGUGACUGCCGGUGACAAACCGGAGGAAGGUGGGGAUGACGUCAAAUCAUCAUGCCCCUUAUGACCUGGCUACACACGUGCUACAAUGGACAGAACAAA
RNAcentral lists this ribosomal RNA (848 nucleotides) under Bacillus sp. DJHH56. RNAcentral's name for it is "bacterial SSU rRNA". It matches the Rfam family "Bacterial small subunit ribosomal RNA", at positions 401 to 1243 of the family's 1533-position model. The record is from RNAcentral. Lineage: Bacteria; Bacillati; Bacillota; Bacilli; Caryophanales; Bacillaceae.